GAGGGCGCCGCUUAAUUUGGAGCCUGCGGGAAAACUUACCCGGCCCGGAGAAACUCACGAGGCCCGGACACUGAAAGGAUUGACGAACUGAGAGCUGGUGGUUGAUGUGGUGGGUGGUGGCGCGGGGCCGUUCGUAGGGGGUGGAGUGAUUUGUCUGCUUAAUUGCGAUAACGAACGAGACUGCCGGCUACUUAAUACCUGCACGGGGUGGUCGUGCGAGCUGUGGGGGGCGCUCACCCCCUCUCCGCUCUCGCGCGGUCUGUGAUGCCCUUCUAUGUCGGGGCCGCACGCGUGUUACACUGAAGUGAUCAGCGUGCUCAACACCCUCUCUGUGAACAGUGAGGAACCGGGUCACCCUUCCUCUACAUUGAAAUGUGAAAUGGGUAUUUUUGCCACUUAACGAGGGAUUCCCGCUAAGAACGAGUCGUAGAACUGCUGUAAUUACUUCCCUGCCCUUUGUACACACCGCCCGUCGCUACUACCGAUUGAAGAUUUAUAGAAGUCGCGAUACUGCCUGAU
RNAcentral lists this ribosomal RNA (519 nucleotides) under uncultured eukaryote. RNAcentral's name for it is "bacterial SSU rRNA". It matches the Rfam family "Eukaryotic small subunit ribosomal RNA", at positions 1179 to 1722 of the family's 1831-position model. The record is from RNAcentral.